Molecule: ribosomal RNA, 398 nt
Filed under: uncultured bacterium
Lineage: Bacteria
Description: bacterial SSU rRNA
Rfam family: Bacterial small subunit ribosomal RNA
Source: RNAcentral
AACCUUCCCUAUAGUAGAGGAUAGCCCGGCGAAAGUCGGAUUAAUACUCUAUGUUUUCCGUUGCAGACAUCUAAGAAGGAACAAAGGCUUGCCGCUAUAGGAUGGGGGAUGCGUCUGAUUAGGUAGUCGGCGGGGUAACGGCCCACCGAGCCAUCGAUCAGUAGGGGUUCUGAGAGGAAGGUCCCCCACAUUGGAACUGAGACACGGUCCAAACUCCUACGGGAGGCAGCAGUGAGGAAUAUUGGUCAAUGGGCGAGAGCCUGAACCAGCCAAGUAGCGUGCAGGAUGACGGCCCUAUGGGUUGUAAACUGCUUUUAUGCGGGGAUAAAGUUCACUACGUGUAGUGUUUUGUAGGUACCGCAUGAAUAAGGACCGGCUAAUUCCGUGCCAGCAGCCGC